This is a long non-coding RNA of Seriola aureovittata, 1164 nucleotides long. RefSeq lists it as uncharacterized. The record is from RefSeq and is a predicted model, not a curated record. NCBI's taxonomy places the organism in Eukaryota, Metazoa, Chordata, Actinopteri, Carangiformes, Carangidae. The transcript has 3 exons.
UUCAGCUUGUCAUACCCCGAAAACACAUCCCUGUUUGAUUCUGACUUUCAGGAGUUCAGCUGAAGGAUCAUGGGAAACUGCUGAAGGAGGUGUCAUCGUGGUUGUGGUCAUCGCUGCUUUCUCUGAGCAGAAGCAUUGACGAGGGUGGGGAAUGUUUUCCCAGGUCCCACAGGAAAUAUUACACAAGGUCCAAAAACACUUGGUGAAGCCAGAAACCCAGGAGUCAGUGCUGGACACCUCCAGGAACUUCCCUGUAACCGGCAUCUCCUCGCAGGCCUGUGCGGCCGCCGCGAUGGGCUGCUGGUGCUUUUGUUUUGAUUCCUCUCCAGGCCUGGGACAGUCGCCAUCAGUGACUCACACAUAUUGGCUCUUAGCUGACUUUGGCCCCUUUUCUUCUUAAACUUUUUUUUCUCUCUUCAAUGAAUUUCCUCUUGUUUUUCCAGAUACAGUCUGUGGAUGAAAUGGCGCUGUUAUUGUCUCAAAGUUUCCUGGACCUGUUCAAGGUCAGGAGGCAGUUGUUUAAGAGUAAGCAGGGGAACUUUAUAAAGAGUUUGUGUGUGCACUGGGGUUGAUUGCACUGAUGCAAGCGAAAUCCCCAAACAAUACAAAGCCCUGGUUUUCAGUAUUAGACAGGGAUUGAAGAAACUUGUAGAGGCUGGAAGAGAAACGUCAGCCGUUACAACCACAGCUGCCAUUCAGCUGGAAAUGGAUAAUAGCUUUGCCACAAUGUGCUUAUUUUUUUCUCUCUUUUCUAAUCACAGUGAAUUCCCCAGUUUCAUCAGCAUGCAGAGUAUAGUCACUGUCUGUUAUGGAACUAAAUUCAGCCCGAGAGGCUCCUCUCUUAGUUAAAGUGAAGAGACCAAAAGAUGAAACAGUGAGUCAUGAAAUUUAGUCUUUAGACUCUAACACUGGAAUGACCUUAGAAUGGCUGGAUUUACUUCACUAAGAAAAACAAAGAAACAUGCUGCUUAGUAAUCAUGCGCUUUAAAACUAAAUGGAAAAUAAAACAGAAGAAGCAGCAGCCAAGAAACAACAAAGUGACUAGACAGACAUGUAAACGUCUUAAUUUCCCAACACUUUAAAAAGAAUGUAGUACAGUAGUUUUAGAAAAAUAAUAACACAGCUUACGGAGCGUCUGCUUUCAUAGUCAUCAUUCGCAUGUCA